UGCAGUUUGGGAUAUAAUUACCUGAAGAGGAAAAAAAAAAUUGAGGGAAUGGAUUACAAAUCAGAUUCAGCACUUCUCAUGUUGACAGCCUUGUUCAGAGAGAAGCUUGAACUCUUCAUUGUGCUUGGGGAGUGAAGUCAUCGGAGUUGCAGUCAUCGGAGUUGAUGGGAUAGAGAUCUGCCGGGCUAGUGGUGUGGAUGAAGGGGCUCUUUCUGCAUUUUGUGUGUUUUGUCUUCGAUUUGACAAUAACUUGUGGUCCUAAUGACUGUCAGAGACUUUUCAAAGUACAAUUCCUGUCAUGUUUACCAAAAGGAUAAACACAGAAUGUUACAAC
Non-coding RNA from Pimephales promelas (fathead minnow), 334 nucleotides. NCBI's taxonomy places the organism in Eukaryota, Metazoa, Chordata, Actinopteri, Cypriniformes, Leuciscidae. The record is from RefSeq and is a predicted model, not a curated record.